Molecule: long non-coding RNA, 851 nt
Filed under: Olea europaea (common olive)
Lineage: Eukaryota; Viridiplantae; Streptophyta; Magnoliopsida; Lamiales; Oleaceae
Description: long non-coding RNA (OEUR_LNC009442)
Source: RNAcentral
AAGUUGAGUUGCAUGCAUCAGAGCAGUGUGUUGUUAGGUACCUCACAGAGAGAACCACAAGAAAAAUGUUAAGCUAACAACUCUUACCUAACUACAAUUGUUUGCAUCCAAUACUAUGAUUCCAAGUGUCCUUCAUUAGUUUUAUAUAUAAUUCAAAUUUCUAAAUAUUAAAUUUCUCUCAACAAACAAGUUAUUGCAAGUUCUAUAAUAAGUAUUUGAUUUGUAUCUUGAAUACUUAUGGAGAAAGAAGAACAAGACCAAGCUGCUGUAUCUAUAUGGGAUUGUGGGAGUCCUUUGUAUGAUUCUUAUGAGUUAGUUUCAUUUACUUACUUUAUCGAGCGACACAUGAUGGUGUUGCCUUUGUCUAUUUUAUCGAGUCAGUUUCAAUCGAGUACAUCAAAGACUCAUGUGAUGGUGUUGCCUUCGUCUGAAAGGCACGGGUCGAGCACAUCAAGAUCAUCAGAGAAGGAAACAACUAUCAUGAAGAUGAAGAAGUUUUUCCAUAUCAAAGACAAGGUAAAGAAGGCAAGGAAUAGAUUUUAUAGUUUUCUUGCUCGGAUUGGUUUAUGAAGAAUUAAUAAGAAAAUCUAACAAUGGGCUGAUUAAUUUAUCAGCAUUGUUUCUACUCAUAUGCUUGUAUUUAUUUUUUACAAAAUAAAGUAAAUUACUUAUGAAAGUUCAUCAAAAUUACUUUACCCAAACAAGGAGAUACUUCUGUUUAUUUAUUUUUCUCUCUUUCGGGUGGCUGAGCAAUUUUACGGGCGGGCAUUUCGAAAUAUGAGUUAACUUCACACGGUUGACGGGUAACGUCCCCAACUAUUAAUAAAAAUUUCUUUUUUAAUAAUAUUAAC